Molecule: ribosomal RNA, 445 nt
Filed under: uncultured soil bacterium
Lineage: Bacteria
Description: bacterial SSU rRNA
Rfam family: Bacterial small subunit ribosomal RNA
Source: RNAcentral
AGAACGAACGCUGGCGGCAUGCCUAACACAUGCAAGUCGAACGAGACCUUCGGGUCUAGUGGCGCACGGGUGCGUAACGCGUGGGAAUCUGCCCUUGGGUUCGGGAUAACAGUUGGAAACGACUGCUAAUACCGGAUGAUGUCUUCGGACCAAAGAUUUAUCGCCCAAGGAUGAGCCCGCGUAGGAUUAGCUUGUUGGUGAGGUAAGAGCUCACCAAGGCGACGAUCCUUAGCUGGUCUGAGAGGAUGAUCAGCCACACUGGGACUGAGACACGGCCCAGACUCCUACGGGAGGCAGCAGUGGGGAAUAUUGGACAAUGGGCGAAAGCCUGAUCCAGCAAUGCCGCGUGAGUGAUGAAGGCCUUAGGUUGUAAGCUCUUUUACCCGGGAUGAUAAUGACAGUACCGGAGAAGUAAGCCCCGGACUAACUCCGCGCCAGCAGCCGC